ACCCCAAUUUUUCUUGGAGACCCCAACAAACUCAGGCUCAAACCCAAAUUCCUCCCAUGCAAAACUUUCAAAAUGGAUCCCAAUAUCAAAAUUAUACCCAUAAUAGAGGUCAGCCUAAUCAGCCUACCCAGUUACCAUAUUACAAUCAAUCAUCAUACCCACCUCCUCAAUAGAUCAAUCUAGCCAAUGAUAGAUUUAAUCAACUCCAAUAAUUGAUUAUAAUCUAACAGCAAUCUAUCAUUAGGCUAGAAGCAUAAAUAGGAUAAUUAGUUGAGUUUACUAUGAGGAGAGAACCAGAUCAAUUCCCAGCCAACCGAUACUAAAUCUCAAGAACAACCCAUCCACCC
Molecule: long non-coding RNA, 347 nt
Filed under: Elaeis guineensis (African oil palm)
Lineage: Eukaryota; Viridiplantae; Streptophyta; Magnoliopsida; Arecales; Arecaceae
Description: long non-coding RNA (EGUI_LNC044966)
Source: RNAcentral